This 253-nucleotide ribosomal RNA is filed under the name uncultured bacterium. Its description in RNAcentral is "partial 16S ribosomal RNA". It matches the Rfam family "Bacterial small subunit ribosomal RNA", at positions 524 to 776 of the family's 1533-position model. The record is from RNAcentral.
UACAGAGGUCCCAAGCGUUGUUCGGAUUCACUGGGCGUAAAGGGUGCGUAGGUGGCCAGGUAAGUUUGGUGUGAAAGCUCGGAGCUCAACUCCGAAAUGGCAUUGAAUACUAUCUGGCUGGAGGGUCGGAGGGGAGACUGGAAUUCUCGGUGUAGCAGUGAAAUGCGUAGAUAUCGAGAGGAACACCAGUGGCGAAGGCGAGUCUCUGGACGACACCUGACGCUCAUGCACGAAGGCUAGGGUAGCGAACGGG